RNAcentral lists this ribosomal RNA (348 nucleotides) under Hygrocybe nigrescens. RNAcentral describes it as "SSU rRNA". It matches the Rfam family "Eukaryotic small subunit ribosomal RNA", at positions 594 to 945 of the family's 1831-position model. The record is from RNAcentral. Lineage: Eukaryota; Fungi; Basidiomycota; Agaricomycetes; Agaricales; Hygrophoraceae.
AUAGCGUAUAUUAAAGUUGUUGCAGUUAAAAAGCUCGUAGUUGAACUUCAGACCUGGCCGGGCGGUCCGCCUUUCUGGCGAGUACUGUCUGGCUGGGCCUUACCUCUUGGUGAACCGGCGUGCCCUUUAUUGGUGUGCGUCGGGGAACUAGGACGAUUACCUUGAGAAAAUUAGAGUGUUCAAAGCAGGCACAUGCCUGAAUACAUUAGCAUGGAAUAACAAAGUAGGACGUGCGGUUCUAUUUUGUUGGUUUCUAGAGUCGCCGUAAUGAUUAAUAGGGAUAGUUGGGGGCAUUAGUAUUCAGUUGCUAGAGGUGAAAUUCUUGGAUUUACUGAAGACUAACUACUG